GGUGUGUACUGGUCUUGAUGGAAGCUUACCUCUUGGUGGGUCGGCAUGCCCUUCGUUGGGUGUGUCGAUUAACCAGGACUUUUACUUUGAGAAAAUUAGAGUGUUCAAAGCAGGCUUUCGCCCGAAUACAUUAGCAUGGAAUAAUAGAAUAGGACGCGCGUCUUUAUUUUGUUGGUUUCUAAAUUCGCCGUAAUGAUUAAUAGGGAUAGUCGGGGGCAUUCGUAUUGCUUGGUCAGAGGUGAAAUUCUUGGAUUCUAGCAAGACGAACUACUGCGAAAGCAUUUGCCAAGGAUGUCUUCAUUGAUCAAGAACGAAGGUUAGGGGAUCGAAAACGAUCAGAUACCGUUGUAGUCUUAACAGUAAACUAUGCCGACUAGGGAUCGGACAAGCACAAUCUAUGACUUGUUCGGCACCUGAAGAGAAAUCUUUAAGUCUAGGUUCGGGGGGGAGUAUGGUCGCAAGGCUGAAACUUAAAGGAAUUGACGGAAGGGCACCACCAGGUGUGGAGCCUGCGGCUUAAUUUGACUCAACACGGGGAAACUCACCAGGUCCAGACACAAUAAGGAUUGACAGAUUGAUAGCUCUUUCUUGAUCUUGUGGUUGGUGGUGCAUGGCCGUUCUUAGUUGGUGGAGUGAUUUGUCUGGUUAAUUCCGAUAACGAACGAGACCUUAACCUGCUAAAUAGACCCGGGGCCUUAGGGAACCGGCUGUCUUCUUAGAGGGACUGUAGG
This 731-nucleotide ribosomal RNA is filed under the name uncultured eukaryote. Its description in RNAcentral is "SSU rRNA". It matches the Rfam family "Eukaryotic small subunit ribosomal RNA", at positions 671 to 1426 of the family's 1831-position model. The record is from RNAcentral.